This 206-nucleotide long non-coding RNA is filed under the name Panax ginseng (ginseng). RNAcentral describes it as "long non-coding RNA (PGIN_LNC007576)". Lineage: Eukaryota; Viridiplantae; Streptophyta; Magnoliopsida; Apiales; Araliaceae. The record is from RNAcentral.
UUAUAGCUCAGGUAUACCCUACGGUAUUCUAACAAGGAUACCAUGUCACAACACAUGCGACAUAAUAUCAACAAAAAGGGUUUCUAAUAUGUACAUGUUAAACUGAAAUGAAUCAUCAACUCAAAGUCUCCAAAAUUAUUAACAUGUACUUUCUACGAGAUUCAAAAUAAAUACAAAAGAUGAUACACUAGAUCAAGAGUACAAAC